GUCCACAGGAUGAAAUGAGGUGAAGGAAGGAGAGAGAGAAGUAGAGGGGGAUGAAUAGCCGAAGGGAUGGGUGAAUAACGACGCAAGAAACAGCCACCCCCAGUUUUAGUGUGGACUGACUGACGGAAUAGUUGACUGAGAGAGGCUGAAACAAACCAGGGAGACAGACACACACUCUGGGGAUUGAGAGGAUCCGUGGGAAAUAGGAGCGUUUAGGAUUUGAUGAUUUGUGCAGAAGGAGCAUCACAGUUGUAAGGAUGCUGAUUGUAGGACUCCCAAUAAGGACAUGGUGUCCUCUGCUCUUCCUGGUGUUGGCUGUACAUUUCCCAGCCCCUGCCCAGGGUCAAGUUCCAGCUCCCAGAAGAUUACGUUUUAAAGUGCUGGGUACGAGCAAAUUACAUGUAUCUUGGAAAGAGCCGAAAGGGAAUGUCGACGGCUAUAGAGUUUUAUACCACAGUGAACCGG
This is a non-coding RNA of Salmo salar (Atlantic salmon), 465 nucleotides long. NCBI's taxonomy places the organism in Eukaryota, Metazoa, Chordata, Actinopteri, Salmoniformes, Salmonidae. The record is from RefSeq and is a predicted model, not a curated record.